GUGCUCCCCCGCCAAUUCCUCCUGGUCCAGAAUUUCAUUCCCAUCAAUAGCUGGGCGGUGAGACGUGAAUGCAUGGACGAGACCGGACCAUUCAACGGCAUACUGGGCGGUUUUGAGGACUGGGAUUUCCUGUUGCGUUUGUGUCCUCGCGUGGCUGUUCGCCAGAUCACCGAAGUGACCUCCGAAUAUCGCAUGACAACAAAUGCGGGCGAUAGCGUCAGCAAGCGUCUUGCCCAGCGCGCUGCGGUGCAGGGGAUAUAUCGGCGGUACGAAGCCAAAGGAUUGGAAUUCGUUGAGCUGGCGAGGGAACUGUACCUUGAAACCCUGGCCUAGCGUCGUGCUGCCGGGAUCGCCGCCGAUUUUUUGCCAGUUGGCAUAGAACAUUGAGGUAAACGCCUGUUUUUCACAGCCCCUUUUCAUUGACCGGGGUGGCGGGUGACUGUAAAAUCUCAGGGUUUUGGGAGUCGUACUUGGUCAUGCGUAAGCGUCUUGUCGCUGGUAACUGGAAAAUGCACGGCAGCCUGGCGGUCAACCAGGCAUUGUUGGACACGCUGAAGGCGGCGCGUCCGGCAGGAUCAACCGGAG
This 585-nucleotide ribosomal RNA is filed under the name uncultured archaeon. RNAcentral's name for it is "partial 16S ribosomal RNA". The record is from RNAcentral.